CCACAACAAAUAAAAUAACUAAAAUAAAAUAAAAUAAAAUAAAGAAGUUAAUUUUUUAUAUAAGUCCCUGCAAAUAUAGUUAACGACAAAUUUAUUUCUAUAAAGUUCAACUUUCAUAUAUUUUUCUAACAAAAAUUCUAAUGUUUUCAAUACAUUUCUGCCGCUAGAAUCCAUUUGAAAAUUUUAGUUAAUCAUAGGUUAAAUACUUAAUUCUAGUUUUUUUUUUAUAUUUUUAUCUUUUAAUAUUAUACUGUUAUGACUUUUGGAGGGAUAUAUUUGUGAUGACAAAAUUAAAAAUAUAAAUAGUUCUCUGACGAUUAUCUAAAGGUAACAAACCAUAGGAAUAUAUUUGAAAAUAUCAUGACAGUUGAACCAAUUUUGCAGGAACCAAUUUUGCAGGAACAACAUAUGAAAGUUGAACUUUGUAGAGAUAUAUUUGUCAUUCAUUAUAUUUAUAGUGACCUGUAUGAAAUUAAUCCAAAAAAAUUAUUGCACAAAAUUUUUAAUUUUAAUUUAUUCGGCGAAUUAUUAAUCCUAUUCUAAGACCCAAAAUUGGUUUGCUAAUCUCUAGGGUGAAAAAUAUUUUAUUUUCCCGGAUAAUAUUUUUUUAAAAAAAUAAAAUUACUAAAAGCCCAAAAGAAAAUUAUUUUAUUUUUUAAGUUAAUAUAUGUAUAUACUUUUUUUUAUGUAAGAGUUAUUAUUGUUGAGUUAGGGGGUCUACAAAAAUAUAUUUUUUUGAAUCCACUAAUAGUCGAAAGAAAAAAAAAUUCUUUAAAUUGUCUUGACAUGCGGGAUCUAAUACCUACAUGGUGAUGGCAAUAGAUUCUGACGUCUUAAAUGAAUAUUUUAAGGAAUCUUUUUGCACAAUUUUUGUUUUUUUUUUUUUUUUGUUUUUUGCCUGAAAGUUGGCCUGCAUAAGGAACCAACUUACUAACAGUAGUAACUCACAGUCACAGUAAUAACUUUUUAAUGAGAACCAGUCCACUAUUCCAUUAGAUAAAGUAAAAUUCAUCUGACGAAUCAGCCUUAAUACCAAAUGUAAAUAAUUUAACACGCGGCACAAAAUACUUACUCUUCCACUCCCGGCAUUUGUUACUAUAGCUCUUGAUCCUUAUAUUUUAAUUCUGACUAUUAGGGUGCCACAGCGUGGCUUUUGAAAUAGCUUUUAGUUGAAUAUUUCAUUAAAUAUACUGUAAUGCGUAAAUAUUUCGCUUAUUUUCGUACAGAAACUAUAAGUUUGUUUAAAAGGAGAGAAUAGGUUGGGUUAUGAUUUUUGCAUUUCCAAAAAAAAAAAAAAAAAAAAAAAUUGAGAGAAAUAUAUCUCUAUGGUCUUGUUUGGAUAUAUGUAUAUUUUAUUUAAUAUACUUCUUCACCUUAUUCAAAAGAGUAUAUAUAGUAUUUAAUAAAGAAGGCGUAUAGACAUCUUGAAUGGAUAUUAUAUUCUGCAUUCAAGAUAUUUUUUUGGAAUCAGAUAAAUCAUAUAACGCGAAUAUUUUUAAGUAGUAAAAAUCAAACUCCUAAGUUUUAAUUAUAUAAGAAUAGUUUCCGACAAAAUAGCUUAUUAUUGCAUAUAUACAUUUUCACUUCGACCCCUCGUGGGCCAAUAAUGUUUUAGAGGGGAUCUCAGCAUUAACGUGUGAAACACACAAGCAUCCCUUAAGGUACUUCUCAUUUCUAUCAAAAAUUUUUCUUUACAUAAUAAAAAAAAACUUCAAAGAUCAUUCCCGUAGUUUCACAUUUUCUUACUUUAACAUCAUAUGAUUUAAAGUGUAUCAAUUUAGUGCCAUGUGGUUUUAUUUUUAUAUUUUUAUUAUCGAUUUCACUAAUUUUUUUUGUUAAAUAAAGUAAAUAUUCGAUAAAUCUAGAUGGAGUAUCUGAAAUUUUUUGUACAUAAUUUAACAAAAUAUUAACGAAAAAAAUGACGAAAAGAUAAAAAUGAAACCAGUAGAUACUAACUCGAUACACUUUAAACCAUAGGGUACUAAAGUGAAAAAGUACGAAACCACAGUAAUGGUAUUUGAAGUUUACCCNAGGGAGUGGGCGGCGGGGAUGGUGGCGGCGGCGGCGGCGGCGGCGCUGGUGAUACCGGAGGUGGCGGAGGCGGCGCAGCCGGGGAUAUCGCCGUCGCUGAAGAACUUCCUGCUGAGCAUCGUGGCCGGCGGCGUCGUGCUCGGCGUGCUGGUCGGCGCCGUCAUCGCCGUCGCCAACUUCGACCCCGUCAAGCGGACCUAGACCUCCUGAUCUCAUGCACCGACUCGUCAUCACCACCACCACCACUCCGCUCCCCCUCUCCUCUCUCCUCCUCCUCCUCUCAAAUUGUUCGGAUUCGAUGUGUAAUUUGUGUAAGCUAUUUUGGACCCUUUUGUAAAAUGCUGUUUCAUUGUUUCAUCUUCACGCGCCUCCUUGCACUCACCACAACCAAUAAAAUAACUAAAAUAAAAUAAAAUAAAAUAAAAUAAAGAAGUUAAUUUUUUAUAUAAGUCCUUGUAAAUAUAGUUAAUGACAAAUUUAUUUCUAUAAAGUUUAACUUUCAUAUAUUGUUCUAACAAAAAUUCUGAUGUUUUCAAUAUGUUUCUGCCGCUAGAAUCCGUUUGAAAAUUUUAGUUCGUCAUAGGUUAAAUAUUUAAUUCUAGUUAUUUUUUUAUAUUUUUAUCUUUUAAUAUUAUACUGUUAUGACUUUUGGAGGGAUAUAUAUGUGAUGACAAAAUUAAAAAUAUAAAUAGUUCUCUAACAAUUAUCUAAAGGUAACAAACCAUAGGAAUAUAUUUGAAAAUAUUAUGAAAGUUGAACCAAUUUUGCAGGAACUAAUUUUGCAGGAACAACAUAUGAAAGUUGAAACUUUGUAGGGAUAUAUUUGCCAUUCACUAUAUUUAUAGUGACCUGUAUGAAAUUAAUCCAAAAAAAUUAUUGCACAAAAUUUUUAAUUUUAAUUUAUUCGGCAAAUUAUUAAUCCUAUUCUAAGACCCAAAAUUGGUUUGCUAAUCUCUAGGG
RNAcentral lists this long non-coding RNA (2991 nucleotides) under Ananas comosus (pineapple). Its description in RNAcentral is "long non-coding RNA (ACOM_LNC019307)". Lineage: Eukaryota; Viridiplantae; Streptophyta; Magnoliopsida; Poales; Bromeliaceae. The record is from RNAcentral.